AAAAAAAGAGCAGUUCACAUCAUCAACAUUCAUAUCUAUUAUUGAAGAUGAUUUUGCGGUGCGGUUCAAAUAGUAACGAAAAUACAUAAAUAUAUAUGUAUAUGUAGAGAUUUUGAUACUGUUACAGUACUGUUGCAGUGCGGAUUUGGGUGCUGUGUAUGUCACCAUUCAUAGCCCUAAUCUCAUUCCAAGUUCAAGAGGUUCAACAAGUGAUUAAACAAGUCUGUAAACUUCAUUAACAAUUUUCAUCCGUUAUAUUCUUGUAAAGUAGCAGUAACGAUAAAGCUAAAUCAACAACUUAAAUCAAAGAUUGAAAUUCAUCUCCGUCGACGUUUCUUCAUAACCAUCAGUGGUUGUGACAGCGGCGGCUGCACCGCUGCAACAAGAUCAGAGGAAGCCAUUCCCAUGUGAAUGAUGUGCUUAAAAUCAGAGUGCAUACGCUCAGCCAUGGAGAAAGGAAGAUUAAU
This 467-nucleotide small RNA is filed under the name Arabidopsis thaliana (thale cress). RNAcentral's name for it is "ATSL027320". Lineage: Eukaryota; Viridiplantae; Streptophyta; Magnoliopsida; Brassicales; Brassicaceae. The record is from RNAcentral.